UCUCCGUUGGUGAACCAGCGGAGGGAUCAUUACUGGACUCGCAAGACUCCUACAACCCCUGUGAACCUUACGAAACGCACGUUGCUUCGGCGGGCUGCGCCUGCCCGGGGUCCGCCCCGGGCUGCGCGCGCCACGGCCCGCCGGCAGCACACAAACUCUGUCUCUUUUGCGUUGGCAUCUCGAGAAAAGACACAAAUAAGUUAAAACUUUCAACAACGGAUCUCUUGGUUCUGGCAUCGAUGAAGAACGCAGC
This 253-nucleotide unclassified non-coding RNA is filed under the name uncultured fungus. Its description in RNAcentral is "sequence contains ITS1, 5.8S rRNA gene". The stretch from base 205 to 253 matches the Rfam family "5.8S ribosomal RNA", at positions 1 to 49 of the family's 154-position model. Lineage: Eukaryota; Fungi. The record is from RNAcentral.